Molecule: ribosomal RNA, 253 nt
Filed under: uncultured bacterium
Lineage: Bacteria
Description: partial 16S ribosomal RNA
Rfam family: Bacterial small subunit ribosomal RNA
Source: RNAcentral
UACGUAGGUGACAAGCGUUGUCCGGAUUUACUGGGCGUAAAGAGCGCGCAGGCGGUCGAUCAAGUCGAGUGUGAAAGCCCCCGGCUCAACUGGGGAGGGUCAUUCGAUACUGAUCGACUCGAAGGCAGGAGAGGGUAGUGGAAUUCCCGGUGUAGUGGUGAAAUGCGUAGAUAUCGGGAGGAACACCAGUGGCGAAGGCGGCUUCCUGGCCUGUUCUUGACGCUGAGGCGCGAAAGCUAGGGGAGCAAACGGG